CCUACGGGAGGCAGCAGUGAGGAAUAUUGGUCAAUGGGCGCGAGCCUGAACCAGCCAAGUAGCGUGAAGGAUGACUACCCUACGGGUUGUAAACUUCUUUUAUAAAGGAGUAAAGUGAGGCACGUGUGCCUUAUUGUAUGUACUUUAUGAAUAAGGAUCGGCUAACGCCGUGCCAGCAGCCGCGGUAAUACGGAGGAUCCGAGCGUUAUCCGGAUGUGUUGGGUUUAAAGGGAGCGUAGAUGGGUUGUUAAGUCAGUUGUGAAAGUUUGCGGAUCAACCGUAAAAUUGCAAUUGAUACUGGCAGCCUUGAGUACAGUUGAGGUAGGCGGAAUUCGUGGUGUAGCGGUGAAAUGCUUAGAUAUCACGAAGAACUCAGAUUGCGAAGGCAGCUUACUAAACUGCCACUGACAUUGAUGCUCGAAAGUGUGGGUAUCAAACAGGAUUAGAUACCCCUGUAGUC
RNAcentral lists this ribosomal RNA (460 nucleotides) under uncultured bacterium. RNAcentral's name for it is "partial 16S ribosomal RNA". It matches the Rfam family "Bacterial small subunit ribosomal RNA", at positions 338 to 795 of the family's 1533-position model. The record is from RNAcentral.